Molecule: long non-coding RNA, 985 nt
Organism: Papaver somniferum (opium poppy)
Lineage: Eukaryota; Viridiplantae; Streptophyta; Magnoliopsida; Ranunculales; Papaveraceae
Exons: 2
Source: RefSeq, a predicted model, not a curated record
UAUUCUUCUUCUUCUCUCCUUCGUUUUUUUUCUUCUCCUCUGCUCGAGUUCUGUUAAUGGCGAUUGAUGCUGUUGAGAAGAGUUUGUGAUGAGAAAGAUCAAUUUAGGUACUAGGUGUUAUUGCUGAGGAUGAAUCGAUGAUUUACAAAGAAGGUGUUUAGAAAUUGAAAUAGUAAAUCACAGAGAAUCAGAAUUAGGGUUUAGGUCGAAUUUGAGAAGUGAAUUGAGUUGUUAAUGAAAGAAGAAUUGAUGGGUUCUUAUUAAUUUAGUGAGAUGAAGUGGUUUUGAUGAUGAAUUGAAGAAUUUAAGGUUUUGAGGUUGAUGUCGAGUACAUGUUGAAAUUGAUAAGUGAUUCGGGUUGUUGUUGAUGGGAGAUGGGUUUGGUUGAAUUGAGGGGUUGAAUGGAUGUCUUGAACUCGAAUUGGGGAGUAAGAAUCGAUCUAGGGUUCAUCUGAGGGUUGAUGGUGAUGAUUGAGACUUAGGAUUUUUAUAUGAGAUCGAGAAGAGAAGACUAAUAUCAGAAUAUAAUUGAUGACGGUGUGUUGCUUCAAAGUUUGUUUCAAACUCAGGGGAGAUGGGAAUUAGGUUUCAGCAUCAGUGGGUGGUUGAACAUCAAUUCAGGGAAGACUAUUGUUGGAUGCUAGCCCAUUGCAGAUGGUUGACGGUAAUUGUAGCUGAGAUGCAUAAUGUUAGAAAGAAUCUGGUAUGGAAUUGAAAUGGGCAAUUCAGUGGUGAGGCUAUAGUUACUGAUUGAAGUAACACAGUUGAAGUGGAGUUGCAGUUCUAGAUAAUUGUACUAAUUAAAAGUAGUCAUGGUAUUAAAUUUUAGUUGUAGUUAAUCUGAAGAUGAUGGUGAUUCAGUUUAGUGGAUGUGUUGCUAAAAGCUACAACUGCAGGUAAUUGAGUUGUAUUAGUGUUUGUAAUUGAGUUGUAUUAGUGUUUGUAAUUGGAUUGAAGUUGUUUUGAUUGAAUAAUUGUACAUAAA